GAAAGACCCCGUGAACCUUUACUAUAGCUUGACACUGAACAUUGAGCCUUGAUGUGUAGGAUAGGUGGGAGACUAUGAAGUGUGGACGCCAGUCUGCAUGGAGUCAACCUUGAAAUACCACCCUUUAACGUUUGAUGUUCUAACCUAGGCCCAUAAUCUGGGUCGGGGACCGUGUCUGGUGGGUAGUUUGACUGGGGCGGUCUCCUCCUAAAGAGUAACGGAGGAGCACGAAGGUUGGCUAAGCAUGGUCGGACAUCAUGCGGUUAGUGCAAAGGCAUAAGCCAGCUUGACUGUGAGAGUGACGGCUCGAGCAGGUACGAAAGUAGGUCUUAGUGAUCCGGUGGUUCUGAAUGGAAGGGCCAUCGCUCAACGGAUAAAAGGUACUCCGGGGAUAACAGGCUGAUACCGCCCAAGAGUUCAUAUCGACGGCGGUGUUUGGCACCUCGAUGUCGGCUCAUCACAUCCUGAGGCUGAAGUAGGUCCCAAGGGUAUGGCUGUUCGCCAUUUAAAGUGGUACGCGAGCUGGGUUUAGAACGUCGUGAGACAGUUCGGUCCCUAUCUGCCGUGGGCGUUGGAAGAUUGAGAGGGGUUGCUCCUAGUACGAGAGGACCGGAGUGAACGCACCACUGGUGUUCGGGUUGUCAUGCCAAUGGCAUUGCCCGGUAGCUAAGUGCGGAAGAGAUAACCGCUGAAAGCAUCUAAGCGGGAAACUUGCCUC
Molecule: ribosomal RNA, 718 nt
Filed under: Escherichia coli
Lineage: Bacteria; Pseudomonadati; Pseudomonadota; Gammaproteobacteria; Enterobacterales; Enterobacteriaceae
Description: bacterial LSU rRNA
Rfam family: Bacterial large subunit ribosomal RNA
Source: RNAcentral